UGAAAUUCCCCAUCAGGACCAGAGCCUGUGAGCACAACACCUCCCACAGUUGAAGCAAGAAGGCCUUGUCAACAGGUUCCCCUGCCCUUUAUUGGACCGAUCCCCAGUUUUAACCUCAUGAGAAGAGCGAGUUGGAGAAGUGUACUUCAGUCAGUCUGCAAACAACCUGAUGGGCUUCCUCCUGGUGAGGCUGAGGUUUGUAUGAGAACUGUUGAAUCACAGCCUGAACCACUGAUUGAUCACCUGAGGCAAGCACUGAGUCAGCUGUGGGAGCACAAGUGAAGGCAAUUCACCUGUGUGACUGGAAGGGGUGGAACCUGGCUGCACCUCUCCUAGACCCCAUUUAAGGGCUGAGUGCCCCUGAGGAAGGAUCUAUUUCUGCAGGUUGCUCCCUUUGGAAUUUUUACUGCGAGCCUAUGACACGGAGAAAAGUGGAAGACAGAAAGGAGCAUUCAGCAGAGUCUAUGAAGCAUACUGGAAAAAUAGCGUAAAGCUGUAUGGUGUCUGUGAGACUUCAAAAUAUUUGCCUCACAGUUAUUUACUCUGGAGUGCUGAAGAAUGGAGACUUUCAGCUUCUUCUCCCUGUGCUCCUCCAACAACACAAGAGUGAAAGCUUGACAUCUCACUUCCUACCUAAGCACUUAUCUUUUGUGUCC
Gallus gallus (chicken) is the source of this 656-nucleotide long non-coding RNA. NCBI's taxonomy places the organism in Eukaryota, Metazoa, Chordata, Aves, Galliformes, Phasianidae. The record is from Ensembl.